UUGGGAAUAUUGCACAAUGGGCGAAAGCCUGAUGCAGCGACGCCGCGUGAGGGAUGACGGCCUUCGGGUUGUAAACCUCUUUCAGCAGGGACGAAGCGCAAGUGACGGUACCUGCAGAAGAAGCACCGGCUAACUACGUGCCAGCAGCCGCGGUAAUACGUAGGGUGCAAGGGUUGUCCGGAAUUACUGGGCGUAAAGAGUUCGUAGGCGGUUUGUCGCGUCGUUUGUGAAAACCAGCAGCACAACUGCUGGCUUGCAGGCGAUACGGGCAGACUGGAGUACUGCAGGGGAGACUGGAAUUGCUGGUGUAGCGGUGAAAUGCGCAGAUAUCAGGAGGAACACCGGUGGCGAAGGCGGGUCUCUGGGCAGUAACUGACGCUGAGGAACGAAAGCGUGGGUAGCGAACAGG
This 409-nucleotide ribosomal RNA is filed under the name bacterium. RNAcentral describes it as "partial 16S ribosomal RNA". It matches the Rfam family "Bacterial small subunit ribosomal RNA", at positions 355 to 776 of the family's 1533-position model. The record is from RNAcentral.